UACGUAGGGUGCAAGCGUUGUCCGGAAUUACUGGGCGUAAAGCGCACGUAGGCGGCUUUGUAAGUUAGAGGUGAAAGCCCGGGGCUCAACUCCGGAACUGCCUUUAAGACUGCAUCGCUUGAAUCCAGGAGAGGUGAGUGGAAUUCCGAGUGUAGAGGUGAAAUUCGUAGAUAUUCGGAAGAACACCAGUGGCGAAGGCGGCUCACUGGACUGGUAUUGACGCUGAGGUGCGAAAGCGUGGGGAGCAAACAGG
RNAcentral lists this ribosomal RNA (253 nucleotides) under uncultured bacterium. RNAcentral's name for it is "partial 16S ribosomal RNA". It matches the Rfam family "Bacterial small subunit ribosomal RNA", at positions 524 to 776 of the family's 1533-position model. The record is from RNAcentral.